CACGUGGGAAUGUACUUAUUGGUUCGGAACAACUCAGGGAAACUUGAGCUAAUACCGAAUGUGCCCGUAAGGGAAGAUUUAUCGCCAAUAAAUCAGCCCGCGUCCGAUUAGCUAGUUGGUGGGGUAAAGGCGUCACCAAGGCGACGAUCGGUAGCUGUUCUGAGAGGAAGAUCAGCCACACUGGGACUGAGACACGGCCCAGACUCCUACGGGAGGCAGCAGUUGGGAAUCUUGGACAAUGGGGGAAACCCUGAUCCAGCCAUGCCGCGUGAGUGAUGAAGGCCUUAGGGUUGUAAAACU
Molecule: ribosomal RNA, 300 nt
Filed under: uncultured Alphaproteobacteria bacterium
Lineage: Bacteria; Pseudomonadati; Pseudomonadota; Alphaproteobacteria
Description: bacterial SSU rRNA
Rfam family: Bacterial small subunit ribosomal RNA
Source: RNAcentral